UGCAGCUUCCAAGUCUCCAGCCGGCUC
This 27-nucleotide non-coding RNA is filed under the name Homo sapiens (human). The record is from RNAcentral. Lineage: Eukaryota; Metazoa; Chordata; Mammalia; Primates; Hominidae.